This 253-nucleotide ribosomal RNA is filed under the name uncultured bacterium. RNAcentral describes it as "partial 16S ribosomal RNA". It matches the Rfam family "Bacterial small subunit ribosomal RNA", at positions 524 to 776 of the family's 1533-position model. The record is from RNAcentral.
UACGUAGGUGGCAAGCGUUAUCCGGAAUUAUUGGGCGUAAAGCGCGCGCAGGCGGUUUCUUAAGUCUGAUGUGAAAGCCCACGGCUCAACCGUGGAGGGUCAUUGGAAACUGGGAGACUUGAGUGCAGAAGAGGAAAGUGGAAUUCCAUGUGUAGCGGUGAAAUGCGUAGAGAUAUGGAGGAACACCAGUGGCGAAGGCGACUUUCUGGUCUGUAACUGACACUGAGGCGCGAAAGCGUGGGGAGCAAACAGG